Molecule: long non-coding RNA, 491 nt
Filed under: Vigna radiata
Lineage: Eukaryota; Viridiplantae; Streptophyta; Magnoliopsida; Fabales; Fabaceae
Description: long non-coding RNA (VRAD_LNC009884)
Source: RNAcentral
ACUUGAUACGCGGGGCCCAAGCCCACCAAAUAAAGAACAACCCAAGAGCAUGGUGAAGGGUAAAGUGGACAUUGCCACAUAAGGAGGGGUGUGUUUAUCAUCAUAGGGGUGNCAUUAUGAGACCUCCCUCCACAUGUGCAGAUUUUCUUUCUUUGUUUAUUUUCACAUGUUUCAUAAGGCUUUCUAGAAGCCAUCCACAUUUAGCACAUGGUUUAUUAGUUGGAAUGAGAUCUGAAACGUGUAGAUCUGAUUCUUCCCAUGCAUAGCCGAGAGGUUGAGUUAUAAAACCUCCUUGGCAUAGCUUGUAUCACUCACUUUUGGAAUAAUAUUGUUGAAACUCUGCUGAAAUGUUUAGCAAGUUCCUCUCCAAGAGUCAUCUUCUUAGCUUGAUUUCCAUUGCAACUUUCUUCCACUCUAGGAAGCCUUCUGAGUUGUGAAUCAUCCAUCCAAGCUAGCCUCCAUCUCACCUCACCACAAACACCCACAAUCCG